UGGCGGACGGGUGAGUAACGCGUGGGUAACCUGCCCUGUACAGGGGGACAACAGUUAGAAAUGACUGCUAAUACCGCAUAAGCGCACAGGACCGCAUGGUCCGGUGUGAAAAACUCCGGUGGUACAGGAUGGACCCGCGUCUGAUUAGGUGGUUGGCGGGGUAACGGCCCACCAAGCCGACGAUCAGUAGCCGACCUGAGAGGGUGACCGGCCACAUUGGGACUGAGACACGGCCCAAACUCCUACGGAAGGCAGCAG
RNAcentral lists this ribosomal RNA (258 nucleotides) under uncultured bacterium. RNAcentral's name for it is "partial 16S ribosomal RNA". It matches the Rfam family "Bacterial small subunit ribosomal RNA", at positions 96 to 354 of the family's 1533-position model. The record is from RNAcentral.